UACGAAGGGGGCUAGCGUUGCUCGGAAUUACUGGGCGUAAAGGGCGCGUAGGCGGCACACACAGUCAGGCGUGAAAUUCCUGGGCUCAACCUGGGGGCUGCGCUUGAGACGGGUUGUCUAGAGUGGGGAAGAGGGCCGUGGAAUUCCCAGUGUAGAGGUGAAAUUCGUAGAUAUUGGGAAGAACACCGGUGGCGAAGGCGGCGGCCUGGUCCUUUUACUGACGCUGAGGCGCGAAAGCGUGGGGAGCAAACAGG
RNAcentral lists this ribosomal RNA (254 nucleotides) under uncultured bacterium. RNAcentral's name for it is "partial 16S ribosomal RNA". It matches the Rfam family "Bacterial small subunit ribosomal RNA", at positions 524 to 776 of the family's 1533-position model. The record is from RNAcentral.